GACAGGGGGUGCAAACGUUGCUCGGAAUCACUGGGCGUAAAGGGCGUGUAGGCGGGCAGGAAAGUCAGAUGUGAAAUCCCUGGGCUCAACCCAGGAACUGCAUUUGAAACUCCCUUUCUUGAGUACCGGAGAGGAAAGUGGAAUUCCUGGUGUAGAGGUGAAAUUCGUAGAUAUCAGGAGGAACACCAGUGGCGAAGGCGGCUUUCUGGACGGUAACUGACGCUGAGACGCGAAAGCGUGGGGAGCAAACAGG
This 253-nucleotide ribosomal RNA is filed under the name uncultured bacterium. Its description in RNAcentral is "partial 16S ribosomal RNA". It matches the Rfam family "Bacterial small subunit ribosomal RNA", at positions 524 to 776 of the family's 1533-position model. The record is from RNAcentral.